This 253-nucleotide ribosomal RNA is filed under the name uncultured bacterium. RNAcentral's name for it is "partial 16S ribosomal RNA". It matches the Rfam family "Bacterial small subunit ribosomal RNA", at positions 524 to 776 of the family's 1533-position model. The record is from RNAcentral.
GACAGAGGGUGCAAACGUUGUUCGGAAUUACUGGGCGUAAAGCGCGUGUAGGCGGCUUAGUGUGUCGGAUGUGAAAUCCCACGGCUCAACCGUGGAAGUGCAUUCGAAACUGCUAAGCUGGAGUCUCGGAGAGGAAGGUGGAAUGCUUGGUGUAGAGGUGAAAUUCGUAGAUAUCAAGCGGAACACCGGUGGCGAAGGCGGCCUUCUGGACGAUGACUGACGCUGAGACGCGAAAGCGUGGGGAGCAAACAGG